This 2926-nucleotide ribosomal RNA is filed under the name Salmonella enterica. RNAcentral's name for it is "23S ribosomal RNA". It matches the Rfam family "Bacterial large subunit ribosomal RNA". The record is from RNAcentral. Lineage: Bacteria; Pseudomonadati; Pseudomonadota; Gammaproteobacteria; Enterobacterales; Enterobacteriaceae.
GGGUUGUGAGGUUAAGCGACUAAGCGUACACGGUGGAUGCCCUGGCAGUCAGAGGCGAUGAAGGGCGUGCUAAUCUGCGAUAAGCGCCGGUAAGGUGAUAUGAACCGUUAUAACCGGCGAUACCCGAAUGGGGAAACCCAGUGUGACUCGUCACACUAUCAUUAACUGAAUCCAUAGGUUAAUGAGGCGAACCGGGGGAACUGAAACAUCUAAGUACCCCGAGGAAAAGAAAUCAACCGAGAUUCCCCCAGUAGCGGCGAGCGAACGGGGAGGAGCCCAGAGCCUGAAUCAGCAUGUGUGUUAGUGGAAGCGUCUGGAAAGGCGCGCGAUACAGGGUGACAGCCCCGUACACAAAAGCGCAUGUGCUGUGAGCUCGAUGAGUAGGGCGGGACACGUGGUAUCCUGUCUGAAUAUGGGGGGACCAUCCUCCAAGGCUAAAUACUCCUGACUGACCGAUAGUGAACCAGUACCGUGAGGGAAAGGCGAAAAGAACCCCGGCGAGGGGAGUGAAAAAGAACCUGAAACCGUGUACGUACAAGCAGUGGGAGCACAGGUUUACCUGUGUGACUGCGUACCUUUUGUAUAAUGGGUCAGCGACUUAUAUUCUGUAGCAAGGUUAACCGAAUAGGGGAGCCGCAGGGAAACCGAGUCUUAACCGGGCGUUAAGUUGCAGGGUAUAGACCCGAAACCCGGUGAUCUAGCCAUGGGCAGGUUGAAGGUUGGGUAACACUAACUGGAGGACCGAACCGACUAAUGUUGAAAAAUUAGCGGAUGACCUGUGGCUGGGGGUGAAAGGCCAAUCAAACCGGGAGAUAGCUGGUUCUCCCCGAAAGCUAUUUAGGUAGCGCCUCGUGAAUUCAUCUCCGGGGUAGAGCACUGUUUCGGCUAGGGGGCCAUCCCGGCUUACCAACCCGAUGCAAACUGCGAAUACCGGAGAAUGUUAUCACGGGAGACACACGGCGGGUGCUAACGUCCGUCGUGAAGAGGGAAACAACCCAGACCGCCAGCUAAGGUCCCAAAGUCAUGGUUAAGUGGGAAACGAUGUGGGAAGGCCCAGACAGCCAGGAUGUUGGCUUAGAAGCAGCCAUCAUUUAAAGAAAGCGUAAUAGCUCACUGGUCGAGUCGGCCUGCGCGGAAGAUGUAACGGGGCUAAACCAUGCACCGAAGCUGCGGCAGCGACACUGUGUGUUGUUGGGUAGGGGAGCGUUCUGUAAGCCUGUGAAGGUGUGUCGUGAGGCAUGCUGGAGGUAUCAGAAGUGCGAAUGCUGACAUAAGUAACGAUAAAGCGGGUGAAAAGCCCGCUCGCCGGAAGACCAAGGGUUCCUGUCCAACGUUAAUCGGGGCAGGGUGAGUCGACCCCUAAGGCGAGGCCGAAAGGCGUAGUCGAUGGGAAACGGGUUAAUAUUCCCGUACUUGGUGUUACUGCGAAGGGGGGACGGAGAAGGCUAUGUUGGCCGGGCGACGGUUGUCCCGGUUUAAGCGUGUAGGUGUGUGUUCCAGGUAAAUCCGGUUCACUUUAACACUGAGGCGUGACGACGAGGCACUACGGUGCUGAAGCAACAAAUGCCCUGCUUCCAGGAAAAGCCUCUAAGCAUCAGGUAACAUCAAAUCGUACCCCAAACCGACACAGGUGGUCAGGUAGAGAAUACCAAGGCGCUUGAGAGAACUCGGGUGAAGGAACUAGGCAAAAUGGUGCCGUAACUUCGGGAGAAGGCACGCUGACAUGUAGGUGAAGUGAUUUACUCAUGGAGCUGAAGUCAGUCGAAGAUACCAGCUGGCUGCAACUGUUUAUUAAAAACACAGCACUGUGCAAACACGAAAGUGGACGUAUACGGUGUGACGCCUGCCCGGUGCCGGAAGGUUAAUUGAUGGGGUCAGCGCAAGCGAAGCUCCUGAUCGAAGCCCCGGUAAACGGCGGCCGUAACUAUAACGGUCCUAAGGUAGCGAAAUUCCUUGUCGGGUAAGUUCCGACCUGCACGAAUGGCGUAAUGAUGGCCAGGCUGUCUCCACCCGAGACUCAGUGAAAUUGAACUCGCUGUGAAGAUGCAGUGUACCCGCGGCAAGACGGAAAGACCCCGUGAACCUUUACUAUAGCUUGACACUGAACAUUGAGCCUUGAUGUGUAGGAUAGGUGGGAGGCUUUGAAGUGUGGACGCCAGUCUGCAUGGAGCCGACCUUGAAAUACCACCCUUUAAUGUUUGAUGUUCUAACGUGGACCCGUUACCCGGGUUGCGGACAGUGUCUGGUGGGUAGUUUGACUGGGGCGGUCUCCUCCUAAAGAGUAACGGAGGAGCACGAAGGUUGGCUAAUCCUGGUCGGACAUCAGGAGGUUAGUGCAAUGGCAUAAGCCAGCUUGACUGCGAGCGUGACGGCGCGAGCAGGUGCGAAAGCAGGUCAUAGUGAUCCGGUGGUUCUGAAUGGAAGGGCCAUCGCUCAACGGAUAAAAGGUACUCCGGGGAUAACAGGCUGAUACCGCCCAAGAGUUCAUAUCGACGGCGGUGUUUGGCACCUCGAUGUCGGCUCAUCACAUCCUGGGGCUGAAGUAGGUCCCAAGGGUAUGGCUGUUCGCCAUUUAAAGUGGUACGCGAGCUGGGUUUAGAACGUCGUGAGACAGUUCGGUCCCUAUCUGCCGUGGGCGCUGGAGAACUGAGGGGGCUGCUCCUAGUACGAGAGGACCGGAGUGGACGCAUCACUGGUGUUCGGGUUGUCAUGCCAAUGGCACUGCCCGGUAGCUAAAUGCGGAAGAGAUAAGUGCUGAAAGCAUCUAAGCACGAAACUUGCCCCGAGAUGAGUUCUCCCUGAGACUUAGAGUCUCCUGAAGGAACGUUGAAGACGACGACGUUGAUAGGCCGGGUGUGUAAGCGCAGCGAUGCGUUGAGCUAACCGGUACUAAUGAACCGUGAGGCUUAACCUUACAACGCCGAAG